GACGAACGCUGGCGGCGUGCUUAACACAUGCAAGUCGAACGGAAAGGCCCUGCUUGCAGGGUACUCGAGUGGCGAACGGGUGAGUAACACGUGGGUGAUCUGCCCUGCACUUCGGGAUAAGCCUGGGCAACUGGGUCUAAUACCGGCUAGGAGCCAUUUUUAGUGUGAUGGUUGGAAAGUUUUUUCGGUGUAGGAUGAGCUCGCGGCCUAUCAGCUUGUUGGUGGGGUAAUGGCCUACCAAGGCGGCGACGGGUAGCCGGCCUGAGAGGGUGGACGGCCACAUUGGGACUGAGAUACGGCCCAGACUCCUACGGGAGGCAGCAGUGGGGAAUAUUGCACAAUGGGCGCAAGCCUGAUGCAGCGACGCCGCGUGGGGGAUGACGGCCUUCGGGUUGUAAACUCCUUUCGCUAGUGACGAAGCUUUUUGUGACGGUACCUAGAUAAGAAGCACCGGCUAACUACGUG
Molecule: ribosomal RNA, 465 nt
Filed under: uncultured bacterium
Lineage: Bacteria
Description: partial 16S ribosomal RNA
Rfam family: Bacterial small subunit ribosomal RNA
Source: RNAcentral